AUUGAACGCUGGCGGCAGGCUUAACACAUGCAAGUCGAGCGGGGUGAUGGUGCUUGCACUAUCACUUAGCGGCGGACGGGUGAGUAAUGCUUAGUAAUCUGCCUCUUAGUGGGGGACUACAUGCCGAAAGGGAUGCUAAUACCGCAUACGGCCUACGUGAGCAAGCAGGGGAUCACUUGUGACCUUGCGCUAAUAGAUGAGACUAAGUCGGAUUAGCGAGUUGGUGGGGUAAAGGCCUAACAAGGCGACGAUCUGUAGCGGGUAUGAGAGGAUGAUCCGCCACACUGGGACUGAGACACGGCCCAGACUCCUACGGGAGGCAGCAGUGGGGAAUAUUGGACAAUGGGGGGAACCCUGAUCCAGCCAUGCCGCGUGUGUGAAGAAGGCCUUAUGGUUGUAAAGCACUUUAAGCGAGGAGGAGGCUCUUUUGGUUAAUACCCAAGAUGAGUGGACGUUACUCGCAGAAUCAGCGCCGGCUAACUCUGUGCCAGCCGCCGCGGUAA
Molecule: ribosomal RNA, 503 nt
Filed under: uncultured bacterium
Lineage: Bacteria
Description: partial 16S ribosomal RNA
Rfam family: Bacterial small subunit ribosomal RNA
Source: RNAcentral